RNAcentral lists this ribosomal RNA (497 nucleotides) under uncultured bacterium. RNAcentral describes it as "partial 16S ribosomal RNA". It matches the Rfam family "Bacterial small subunit ribosomal RNA", at positions 28 to 507 of the family's 1533-position model. The record is from RNAcentral.
GAUGAACGCUGGCGGCGUGCCUAAUACAUGCAAGUCGAGCGAACAGACGAGGAGCUUGCUCCUCUGACGUUAGCGGCGGACGGGUGAGUAACACGUGGAUAACCUACCUAUAAGACUGGGAUAACUUCGGGAGACCGGAGCUAAUACCGGAUAAUAUAUUGAACCGCAUGGUUCAAUAGUGAAAGACGGUUUUGCUGUCACUUAUAGAUGGAUCCGCGCCGCAUUAGCUAGUUGGUAAGGUAACGGCUUACCAAGGCAACGAUGCGUAGCCGACCUGAGAGGGUGAUCGCCCACACUGGAACGGGAACACGGUCCAGACUCCAACGGAGGGAGGCGGAGGGAAAUCUUCGGCAAGGGGCGAAGCCCGGACGAGGCAAGGCGGCGGAGGGAAGAAAGUUCUUCGAAUCUAAAAACUCGUUAAUAAGGAAAAAAAAAUGUGGAAAUUAACAAGGCAGGUCUGAACGGUACCUAAUCAAAAGGCCACGGCUAACUACGUG